AACGAACGCUGGCGGCAUGCCUAACACAUGCAAGUCGAACGAACGCUUCGGCCUUAGUGGCGCACGGGUGCGUAACGCGUGGGAAUCUGCCCUUUGGUUCGGAAUAACAGCUGGAAACGGCUGCUAAUACCGGAUGAUGACUACAGUCCAAAGAUUUAUCGCCAUAGGAUGAGCCCGCGUUGGAUUAGGUAGUUGGUGGGGUAAAGGCCUACCAAGCCGACGAUCCAUAGCUGGUCUGAGAGGAUGAUCAGCCACACUGGGACUGAGACACGGCCCAGACUCCUACGGGAGGCAGCAGUGGGGAAUAUUGGACAAUGGGCGCAAGCCUGAUCCAGCAAUGCCGCGUGAGUGAUGAAGGCCUUAGGGUUGUAAAGCUCUUUUACCCGGGAAGAUAAUGACUGUACCGGGAGAAUAAGCCCCGGCUAACUCCGUG
RNAcentral lists this ribosomal RNA (433 nucleotides) under uncultured bacterium. RNAcentral's name for it is "partial 16S ribosomal RNA". It matches the Rfam family "Bacterial small subunit ribosomal RNA", at positions 29 to 507 of the family's 1533-position model. The record is from RNAcentral.